This is a long non-coding RNA of Octodon degus (degu), 309 nucleotides long. RefSeq lists it as uncharacterized. The record is from RefSeq and is a predicted model, not a curated record. NCBI's taxonomy places the organism in Eukaryota, Metazoa, Chordata, Mammalia, Rodentia, Octodontidae. The transcript has 3 exons.
UGAUACCAUCUUUCAUUAUGUAUUGUUCAGCAGUUUUCUAAACUAAGGAGGCAAAGUAACAAAGACAUGCAGGACUCACGGGCCCUGGAUGGAGGCUGGCAGCUUCAGACAACGAGCACCACUGAGGGACGAGCAGGAGGUGCCUUUGGCUGUGGAGCUCAGGUUUGUCUUUGGAAAAGAGUGAGAGGAACUGGUAAACUCAGCCUCCUCACUCACUUCUGCUCCUGAGAUGUGUGCGAAUGAUUUGAAGACAUGGGUGCAUCAACCUGAAUACAGAUUUAAAAAAUAAGAUUUCUAAGAAGUUACCCU